GCAUUCUUGGCCGAGUGGUCUAAGGCGCUGCGUUCAGGUCGCAGUAUCUUCGGAUGCGUGGGGUCGAAUCCCACAGAAUGCA
This 82-nucleotide transfer RNA is filed under the name Aestuariibacter sp. RNAcentral's name for it is "tRNA-Leu". It matches the Rfam family "tRNA". From Rfam's summary of the family: Transfer RNA (tRNA) molecules are approximately 80 nucleotides in length. The record is from RNAcentral. Lineage: Bacteria; Pseudomonadati; Pseudomonadota; Gammaproteobacteria; Alteromonadales; Alteromonadaceae.